GUGGUCCCAGUAGGUAUGAACUCUUCAGCCAUCCAUUUAUUCCUACCGAUUGUCCCUUGCGGGGGUGCUGGAGCCAAUCUCAGCUGCACUCGAGCAAAAGGCAACUGUAUAUAUAAUUUUAACAAGACGUAAAAUGGGGAAGAGAGGGUAUCCGGUGUAGAGCUCAGCCAGGAUGCAGCCCAGACUCCACAUGUCAAUGGCCAUGCUGUAGGGGUGACCCAGGAUGACCUCUGGGGAGCGGUAGAAGCGGCUCUGGAUCAUCUGCAGGCACCUGAGGAGAGCGUGGGUGAAGCGACGGAUGAGAGCCACACUGAAGCCCUGGAAGUUGUUUUUUUUGAUGAGCUCGUAUAAGUUGACCCUGACGAGAGAAAUGAC
Entelurus aequoreus (snake pipefish) is the source of this 375-nucleotide long non-coding RNA. RefSeq lists it as uncharacterized. The transcript has 3 exons. The record is from RefSeq and is a predicted model, not a curated record. NCBI's taxonomy places the organism in Eukaryota, Metazoa, Chordata, Actinopteri, Syngnathiformes, Syngnathidae.